RNAcentral lists this ribosomal RNA (1248 nucleotides) under Staphylococcus aureus. Its description in RNAcentral is "bacterial LSU rRNA". It matches the Rfam family "Bacterial large subunit ribosomal RNA", at positions 1 to 1249 of the family's 2925-position model. Lineage: Bacteria; Bacillati; Bacillota; Bacilli; Caryophanales; Staphylococcaceae. The record is from RNAcentral.
AGAUUAAGUUAUUAAGGGCGCACGGUGGAUGCCUUGGCACUAGAAGCCGAUGAAGGACGUUACUAACGACGAUAUGCUUUGGGGAGCUGUAAGUAAGCUUUGAUCCAGAGAUUUCCGAAUGGGGAAACCCAGCAUGAGUUAUGUCAUGUUAUCGAUAUGUGAAUACAUAGCAUAUCAGAAGGCACACCCGGAGAACUGAAACAUCUUAGUACCCGGAGGAAGAGAAAGAAAAUUCGAUUCCCUUAGUAGCGGCGAGCGAAACGGGAAGAGCCCAAACCAACAAGCUUGCUUGUUGGGGUUGUAGGACACUCUAUACGGAGUUACAAAGGACGACAUUAGACGAAUCAUCUGGAAAGAUGAAUCAAAGAAGGUAAUAAUCCUGUAGUCGAAAAUGUUGUCUCUCUUGAGUGGAUCCUGAGUACGACGGAGCACGUGAAAUUCCGUCGGAAUCUGGGAGGACCAUCUCCUAAGGCUAAAUACUCUCUAGUGACCGAUAGUGAACCAGUACCGUGAGGGAAAGGUGAAAAGCACCCCGGAAGGGGAGUGAAAUAGAACCUGAAACCGUGUGCUUACAAGUAGUCAGAGCCCGUUAAUGGGUGAUGGCGUGCCUUUUGUAGAAUGAACCGGCGAGUUACGAUUUGAUGCAAGGUUAAGCAGUAAAUGUGGAGCCGUAGCGAAAGCGAGUCUGAAUAGGGCGUUUAGUAUUUGGUCGUAGACCCGAAACCAGGUGAUCUACCCUUGGUCAGGUUGAAGUUCAGGUAACACUGAAUGGAGGACCGAACCGACUUACGUUGAAAAGUGAGCGGAUGAACUGAGGGUAGCGGAGAAAUUCCAAUCGAACCUGGAGAUAGCUGGUUCUCUCCGAAAUAGCUUUAGGGCUAGCCUCAAGUGAUGAUUAUUGGAGGUAGAGCACUGUUUGGACGAGGGGCCCCUCUCGGGUUACCGAAUUCAGACAAACUCCGAAUGCCAAUUAAUUUAACUUGGGAGUCAGAACAUGGGUGAUAAGGUCCAUGUUCGAAAGGGAAACAGCCCAGACCACCAGCUAAGGUCCCAAAAUAUAUGUUAAGUGGAAAAGGAUGUGGCGUUGCCCAGACAACUAGGAUGUUGGCUUAGAAGCAGCCAUCAUUUAAAGAGUGCGUAAUAGCUCACUAGUCGAGUGACACUGCGCCGAAAAUGUACCGGGGCUAAACAUAUUACCGAAGCUGUGGAUUGUCCUUUGGACAAUGGUAGGAGAGCGUUCUAAGGGCG